Molecule: ribosomal RNA, 460 nt
Filed under: uncultured bacterium
Lineage: Bacteria
Description: partial 16S ribosomal RNA
Rfam family: Bacterial small subunit ribosomal RNA
Source: RNAcentral
CCUACGGGAGGCAGCAGUGAGGAAUAUUGGUCAAUGGCCGGAAGGCUGAACCAGCCAUGCCGCGUGAAGGUCAGUGCCCUAUGGGCGUUAAACUUCUUUUGUGCGGGAGCAAUAAUGGUCACGUGUGGCCAGACGAGAGUACCGUACGAAUAAGCAUCGGCUAACUCCGUGCCAGCAGCCGCGGUAAUACGGGGGAUGCAAGCGUUAUCCGGAUUUAUUGGGUUUAAAGGGUGCGUAGGCUGGGAGGUAAGUCAGCGGUGAAAUGCCCCCGCUCAACGGGGUGAAGUGCCAUUGAUACUGCCUUGCUGGAAUGCGGAUGCGGUGGGAGGAAUGUGUGGUGUAGCGGUGAAAUGCAUAGAUAUCACACAGAACACCGAUUGCGAAGGCAGCUCACGAGUCCGCGAUUGACGCUGAUGCACGAAAGCGUGGGUAUCAAACAGGAUUAGAUACCCGUGUAGUC